GGAGGGGUGCAAGCGUUGUUCGGAAUUAUUGGGCGUAAAGAGCGUGUAGGGCGGUUCGGUAAGUCAGAUGUGAAAGCCCUGGGCUCAACCCAGGAAGUGCAUUUGAAACUACCGGACUUGAGUACGGGAGAGGAGGGGGGAAUUCCCGGUGUAGAGGUGAAAUUCGUAGAUAUCGGGAGGAAUACCAGUGGCGAAGGCGCCCCUCUGGACCGAUACUGACGCUGAGACGCGAAAGCGUGGGGAGCAAGCAGGAUUAGAUACCCUGGUAGUCCACGCCGUAAACGAUGAGCACUAGGUGUAGCGGGUAUUGACCCCUGCUGUGCCGUAGCUAACGCAUUAAGUGCUCCGCCUGGGGACUACGGUCGCAAGACUA
This 373-nucleotide ribosomal RNA is filed under the name uncultured organism. Its description in RNAcentral is "partial 16S ribosomal RNA". It matches the Rfam family "Bacterial small subunit ribosomal RNA", at positions 526 to 896 of the family's 1533-position model. The record is from RNAcentral.